GACGAACGCUGGCGGCGUGCUUAACACAUGCAAGUCGAGCGGUAAGGCCCUUCGGGGUACACGAGCGGCGAACGGGUGAGUAACACGUGGGUGAUCUGCCUUGCACUCUGGGAUAAGCCUGGGAAACUGGGUCUAAUACCGGAUAUGACCUGCAGUUGCAUGACUGUGGGUGGAAAGAUUUAUCGGUGCGAGAUGAGCCCGCGGCCUAUCAGCUUGUUGGUGGGGUAAUGGCCUACCAAGGCGACGACGGGUAGCCGGCCUGAGAGGGCGACCGGCCACACUGGGACUGAGACACGGCCCAGACUCCUACGGGAGGCAGCAGUGGGGAAUAUUGCACAAUGGGCGGAAGCCUGAUGCAGCGACGCCGCGUGAGGGAUGACGGCCUUCGGGUUGUAAACCUCUUUCGACUCCGACGAAGCGAAAGUGACGGUAGGAGUAUAAGAAGCACCGGCCAACUACGUGCCAGCAGCCGCGGUAAUACGUAGGGUGCGAGCGUUGUCCGGAAUUACUGGGCGUAAAGAGCUUGUAGGCGGCUUGUCGCGUCGAUCGUGAAAACUCGGGGCUCAACCCCGAGCUUGCGGUCGAUACGGGCAGGCUUGAGUACUUCAGGGGAGACUGGAAUUCCUGGUGUAGCGGUGAAAUGCGCAGAUAUCAGGAGGAACACCGGUGGCGAAGGCGGGUCUCUGGGAAGUAACUGACGCUGAGAAGCGAAAGCGUGGGUAGCGAACAGGAUUAGAUACCCUGGUAGUCCACGCCGUAAACGGUGGGUACUAGGUGUGGGUUUCCUUCCACGGGAUCCGUGCCGUAGCUAACGCAUUAAGUACCCCGCCUGGGGAGUACGGCCGCAAGGCUAAAACUCA
This 860-nucleotide ribosomal RNA is filed under the name Nocardia carnea. Its description in RNAcentral is "bacterial SSU rRNA". It matches the Rfam family "Bacterial small subunit ribosomal RNA", at positions 28 to 903 of the family's 1533-position model. The record is from RNAcentral. Lineage: Bacteria; Bacillati; Actinomycetota; Actinomycetes; Mycobacteriales; Nocardiaceae.